This is a long non-coding RNA of Sinocyclocheilus anshuiensis, 158 nucleotides long. RefSeq lists it as uncharacterized. The record is from RefSeq and is a predicted model, not a curated record. Lineage: Eukaryota; Metazoa; Chordata; Actinopteri; Cypriniformes; Cyprinidae. The transcript has 2 exons.
CUUGUUGCCGAGCCCCGCCUUGAUAUAAUGAUUGACAGGUUGGGGGUGUGAUCGGCUCGGAAUGCAUGUUCAAAUCCACAUCGACUUAAACUACAUUAUGGCGGGGUAUUUAAUGAAAAUACAACUGAAACGUCUUAAGUGUAAGUGUCAAUGCAUUU